This 699-nucleotide ribosomal RNA is filed under the name uncultured bacterium. Its description in RNAcentral is "bacterial SSU rRNA". It matches the Rfam family "Bacterial small subunit ribosomal RNA", at positions 51 to 751 of the family's 1533-position model. The record is from RNAcentral.
AUAAUGCAGUCGACGAGAUUGAAGAGCUUGCUUUUAUGAAAGUGGCGCACGGGUGCGUAACGCGUAUGCAACCUACCCCAUACAGGGGGAUAGCCCGGAGAAAUCUGGAUUAAUACCCCAUGGCAUCAACGAACCGCAUGGUUUUGUUGAUUAAAGAUUCAUCGGUAUGGGAUGGGCAUGCGUCUGAUUAGCUAGUUGGGGGUGUAACGGACCACCAAGGCGACGAUCAGUAGGGGUUCUGAGAGGAAGGUCCCCCACACUGGCACUGAGAUACGGGCCAGACUCCUACGGGAGGCAGCAGUAGGGAAUAUUGGGCAAUGGGCGAGAGCCUGACCCAGCCAUGCCGCGUGCAGGAAGACGGCGUUCUGCGUUGUAAACUGCUUUUAUCUGGGAAGAAAAGGCCCAUGCGUGGGACAUUGCCGGUACCAGAUGAAUAAGCACCGGCUAACUCCGUGCCAGCAGCCGCGGUAAUACGGAGGGUGCAAGCGUUGUCCGGAUUUAUUGGGUUUAAAGGGUGCGUAGGCGGCUGAUUAAGUCAGCGGUGAAAGACAUCGGCUCAACCGAUGCAGUGCCGUUGAUACUGGUCAGCUUGAGUGUUGCAGGGUACAUGAAUUUGAUGGUGGUACCGGUGAAAUGCAUAAGAUACCAUCAGAACACCGAUAGCGAAUGCAUUGUACUGGGCAACAACUGACGCUGAUG